GUGGACACCUGAAAGACGGACUAAUACCCAAUGAUAUUCAUUGAUGACAUCUGAUUUGAAUUAAAGAUUUAUCGGUAUAGGAUGGGGAUGCGUCUGAUUAGCUUGUUGGUGAGGUAACGGCUCACCAAGGCACGAUCAGUAGGGGUUCUGAGAGGAAGGUCCCCCACAUUGGAACUGAGACACGGUCCAAACUCCUACGGGAGGCAGCAGC
RNAcentral lists this ribosomal RNA (211 nucleotides) under uncultured Prevotella sp. RNAcentral's name for it is "partial 16S ribosomal RNA". It matches the Rfam family "Bacterial small subunit ribosomal RNA", at positions 141 to 355 of the family's 1533-position model. Lineage: Bacteria; Pseudomonadati; Bacteroidota; Bacteroidia; Bacteroidales; Prevotellaceae. The record is from RNAcentral.